UGGGUAUGAAUGUAACUAUUAGUGUAUUAUAUUUAUCAUACAUAUCAGAAGCAUUAAUUGUAUUUAAGUUGACCCUGAAACCUGCACAUGUCGAUGCAACCCUUUAUUAUAUAUUAGUAGGCAAUAAGGAGCCCAUAAUACACAUACCACUGUUUGGAAACAGUUGAGGUAAAGGUUUUACAGAUUCAGAAAAACUAAUAAAAUCCACUAUUAACGAUAUCCAUUCCAGAUCGUAUCAGUAAAACGAUGCAUCCCUGUAUGACAUGUAUGACAUGUAUGUCAUAUGUCAGUGUAUGACAUAAGAAUCAUGAACAUUUGACAUUAACAGGAAUGUGGCAGCAUUUACACUUACAUUUUUAAUACUCCUGCUGGUCUUCUGAUGUCUGCAUGAGAUAAGAGCUGUAUUUUAUUAACUGCUCACAGCGUGGGAAAAGGACAAUAAAAGAAUACAGUGAUUCUGACUGAAAGAGCUGGAAAGUGAGAGCACAAUCCAAAUGGUGCCAGGCUCCCCUCACAACACUGCACAAAAGGAUCCAUGUCAGUGCAGGAUGGCAGAAAAACACAGUCACUCUCACCAGCCUAUAUACACAGGCCUUACACAACUACAACAGCAAAGUGGUAACCACAUUAACACGUACAACCUGAACAUUCACAAGUGUGGCCGCUCCUAAAUAAAAUCAUCAUAAAAAUUCUUUGUCACAUAAGGUUUCAAAGGGCAACCAUAAACAUAACUGACAUAGCAGAGUUGGACCCAGGAGCCUCCACUGGACUGCAAAUUAUUUGCUCUUCCUUGGUCCUUUCUGUCACCUCAGUGACAUGUAUAAAAACAUUAAUAAAAGCUAAAGAGGCAGAUUAUAGGAUUUUUAUGCACUCUUAUGUACUUCCAAUCACCGCACAUAACAACUCCUGACACUGGCCCUCAUUUCCCACUGUGUUUUUGUAAGGUACAGGCUACACAACAAGGCUUAAACCUUUAACUUCUCUGCUUAUUAUUCAGCUAUUCACCUUAAGGCAUAUUAUUCAGUAACUACAAUUAAACUAAAGAAUGUAGAUGCAACAGUGGGGAAUUUGUAUUUGGUUAUUCUGGGAGUGUAAAGGGCUAAAUAACUUUGAAAAGAAAAGCCACACACAGUGUGACUAGACCAUCUCCAUAUGGUACUCAUCAACACAUUGUAACAAAGUUAAUCUCUGGCCUGAUAUCUAAAAUCAGAACUUCAGCCAGUCAGAUCUGAAGAUAAUGAUGGUGCUUUGUGGCCUGUGGCUUUUCAGUAGUAGGUGAACAAACACAACAGGUGCUUUGAAGUGAAUUAAACAAGGUAUUCAGUCAACCAGAUAAUACAGAUUUAUUGCUCCAAUAAAACUUGUGAGGGGGGAAGAAAUUCGUCUCCCUUUCAUAGGUUGUAACAAAGUCCACACUGGAUGUUGGUAUGGAAAUUUCAGGAACAAUUUACAUCAGCACAGACUGCCUAAUAUUAAUUUAAGUGUUCUGCAAAAGCUAAAGACUUCCCAGGGGAAUGAGUUCAGAAUAAAGGAAAGGUUUCUGCUCUGAAUCCGAGGGGCCUGACUGUGGACUCACAUGAUCAGCUCAUGUGAAAAAGAGAUAUAAAAAUGGAUUUAAAUGGAGUGCUGUACUGUCUCUCAGCCACAUACACCAUACUCCAUUUCAUAUUUCUGAUGGGCUGAAAAAGGAGUGGGGAAAAGGAGAUAAUAGCAAAAGAAAAGUGAUAAAUACUUAAUGAAACAGCUAUAUAAUUGUGGACAUUUAUGUGAAACCACUAUAACAAUCAAAGAUGGUCCACAAAUACAUGCUCUACCACCUUAUCAUGACACUUGCAGCUCCAUUGGUUUUAUGGGUUGUGUAUGUUGCCAUCCAAGACCAAGGAAAAUACUUGUAAGGGGAAAAAUGCUAUUUCCUUCCCUCAAAAGAAAACCACGGGAAAAACCUUAUCUUAGAUGUAAUGGUUUUCAGAUUUUACAAGCAUAUUAAAUGGGUAAAACCAUUAAUUAAACCUUUGGGACAACAUUAAAUUGUUUUUCUUUGUACAGAACAUUGGACAUAUUUUUAUCCAUUAAAUGAUUUGAUGCUUUAUCAAUAGAAUCUGUGUUUGAAAUAGAAGAUGUACUAAGACUAAUAUGUGAUGUCUACUUAAACAUCCACUUCAUACAGAUGGCCUGAGAAAGACAAAUGAGAAUGCAAAUUCUGAUUAUUAAUCUUGAGCAUUUUUAAUAAAAAAUGGGCCUAUAAUAUACAACACAGCUUACUUCUUUUUCAUUUCAAAUGAAAACCUUCCAUUUUUUAAAUGCUGACCUAAAGUUGAAAUGGGAGAAUUCCUCCUGACAUUAUGCGAUGAGUACUCGUCGAAUUCGCAACCCCUCAAUUAGACAACAGUAGUCAUACAGAUAAAAACAGUGGCAUAUACUUCCAUCCAGAUGCAUACAGAUACAAAUAUUAUAAAAUCACUAUUAUAUCUCAUUUCUAACUCAUUCCUUGACUAUGCAAUCAUGGAUAGAGCAGGCGGAUGUUCCAAAUCACAGAAGCCCAUGCAAAUGCUCUGUAUGUGUACAAGACAGAUAGAGUGCUUUAAGGGUGAGGCAACCCAUUCACUUAUGAAUGAUAUGAAUGUCUGGUUUUCAAGUUUAAGUAUGGCAUUGCUUGUGUUCUGGUCAUAAUGCAUAGUGCUUGUAAAGAAUGUUAUUCUUUCACAUGCCAGUCAAACCUCACCA
Ictalurus punctatus (channel catfish) is the source of this 2724-nucleotide long non-coding RNA. The record is from Ensembl. NCBI's taxonomy places the organism in Eukaryota, Metazoa, Chordata, Actinopteri, Siluriformes, Ictaluridae.